UAGUGUAGGGCACUUUUGCACAUGGCUUCUCUCAACCUGUUAUGAAUUUUCUUCUGUCUAGUUUUAAAUUUCAGGACAUUUUCCAGAUCUUGCUCCAGGUAUGUUCUUGUUCUUCCUGUGUAGCCACUUGUUUUCGUAAUGAUUCUUCAUCUUUUAUAUGCUAUAUUCGCAGGUUAAUUGCAUUAAAAGUAAUUUGACGUUGUUUUUGUUUCCAUUUGGGUUGAAGGUUAAGAUUUCUGUUGUUUCUGGACAUUUUAUUUAUUUUACACUUUUUAUCUUUGAUAGCUGCCAUGCAAAGAAAGCCCAAAUCAUAUUCUUCUUCUUUAAUGGAUCAGAUUCCUAUCAAAUUCCUUAUUCGACAGGCUCAAGGGCUGCAGCAGGAGUUGGGAGGGUUGCAUUCAGCUUUACUACGUCUCCUUGCUACUAACUACCCACAUUUAUGUAUUGUGGAUGACUGGAUUUGUGAAGAAGAAAUCACAGGGACUGAUGCCCUGCUACGGCGAAUGCUCCUGACUAAUAAUGCUAAAAAUCAUUCUCCCAAACAACUCCAAGAAGCAUUUUCAGCUGUCCCAGUAAAUCACACACAAGUGAUGCAGAUUAUAGAACACUUGACUCUACUCUCUGCCAGUGAACUUAUACCAUAUGCAGAAGUGUUAACAUCCA
This 663-nucleotide small RNA is filed under the name Pongo abelii (Sumatran orangutan). Its description in RNAcentral is "retained intron". The record is from RNAcentral. Lineage: Eukaryota; Metazoa; Chordata; Mammalia; Primates; Hominidae.